RNAcentral lists this unclassified non-coding RNA (233 nucleotides) under uncultured fungus. RNAcentral's name for it is "sequence contains ITS1, 5.8S rRNA gene". The stretch from base 185 to 233 matches the Rfam family "5.8S ribosomal RNA", at positions 1 to 49 of the family's 154-position model. Lineage: Eukaryota; Fungi. The record is from RNAcentral.
UCUCCGUUGGUGAACCAGCGGAGGGAUCAUUACAGAGUUAUCUAACUCCCGAACCCAUGUGAACUUACCAUUUGUUGCCUCGGCAGAGCCUACCCGGGACCUCGCGCCCCGGGCGGCCCGCCGGCGGACAAACCAAACUCUGUUAUCUUCGUUGAUUAUCUGAGUGUCUUAUUUAAUAAGUCAAAACUUUCAACAACGGAUCUCUUGGUUCUGGCAUCGAUGAAGAACGCAGC